This 301-nucleotide ribosomal RNA is filed under the name uncultured bacterium. Its description in RNAcentral is "partial 16S ribosomal RNA". It matches the Rfam family "Bacterial small subunit ribosomal RNA", at positions 509 to 807 of the family's 1533-position model. The record is from RNAcentral.
CAGUCGCCGCGGUAAUACGUAGGGUGCAAGCGUUAAACGGAAUUACUGGGCGUAAAGCGUGCGCAGGCGGUUAUAUAAGACAGAUGUGAAAUCCCCGGGCUCAACCUGGGAACUGCAUUUGUGACUGUAUAGCUAGAGUACGGCAGAGGGGGAUGGAAUUCCGCGUGUAGCAGUGAAAUGCGUAGAUAUGCGGAGGAACACCGAUGGCGAAGGCAAUCCCCUGGGCCUGUACUGACGCUCAUGCACGAAAGCGUGGGGAGCAAACAGGAUUAGAUACCCCUGUAGUCCCUGUCUCUUAUAC